RNAcentral lists this ribosomal RNA (635 nucleotides) under uncultured bacterium. RNAcentral describes it as "bacterial SSU rRNA". It matches the Rfam family "Bacterial small subunit ribosomal RNA", at positions 51 to 688 of the family's 1533-position model. The record is from RNAcentral.
ACACAUGCAAGUCGAACGGUAACAGGUUAAGCUGACGAGUGGCGAACGGGUGAGUAAUGUAUCGGAACGUGCCCAGUCGUGGGGGAUAACUGCUCGAAAGAGCAGCUAAUACCGCAUACGACAUGAGGGUGAAAGCGGGGGAUCGCAAGACCUCGCGCGAUUGGAGCGGCCGAUAUCAGAUUAGGUAGUUGGUGGGGUAAAGGCUCACCAAGCCAACGAUCUGUAGCUGGUCUGAGAGGACGACCAGCCACACUGGGACUGAGACACGGCCCAGACUCCUACGGGAGGCAGCAGUGGGGAAUUUUGGACAAUGGACGCAAGUCUGAUCCAGCCAUGCCGCGUGCGGGAAGAAGGCCUUCGGGUUGUAAACCGCUUUUGUCAGGGAAGAAAAGGUUCUGGUUAAUACCUGGGACUCAUGACGGUACCUGAAGAAUAAGCACCGGCUAACUACGUGCCAGCAGCCGCGGUAAUACGUAGGGUGCAAGCGUUAAUCGGAAUUACUGGGCGUAAAGCGUGCGCAGGCGGUUAUGCAAGACAGAGGUGAAAUCCCCGGGCUCAACCUGGGAACUGCCUUUGUGACUGCAUAGCUAGAGUACGGUAGAGGGGGAUGGAAUUCCGCGUGUAGCAGUGAAAUG